GAUGAACGCUGGCGGCGUGCCUAACACAUGCAAGUCGAGCGAACAGACGAGGAGCUUGCUCCCCUGACGUUAGCGGCGGACGGGAGAGUAACACGUGGAUAACCUACCUAUAAGACUGGGAUAACUUCGGGAAACCGUAGCUAAUACCGGAUAAUAUAUUGAACCGCAUGGUUCACUAGUGAAAGUCGGUUUUGCUGUCACUUAUAGAUGGAUACGGGCCGCAUUAGCUAGUUGGUAAGGUAACGGCUUACCAAGGCAACGAUGCGUAGCCGACCUGAGAGGGUGAUCGGCCACACUGGAACUGAGACACGGCCCAGACUCCUACGGGAGGCAGCAGUAGGGAAUCUUCCGCAAUGGGCGAAAGCUUGACGGAGCAACGCCGCGUGAGUGAUGAAGGUCUUCGGAUCGUAAAGCUCUGUUAUUAGGGAAGAACAAAUGUGUAAGUAACUAGGCACGUCUUGACGGUACCUAAACAGAAAGCCACGGCUAACUGCGUG
This 497-nucleotide ribosomal RNA is filed under the name uncultured bacterium. RNAcentral's name for it is "partial 16S ribosomal RNA". It matches the Rfam family "Bacterial small subunit ribosomal RNA", at positions 28 to 507 of the family's 1533-position model. The record is from RNAcentral.